This 5951-nucleotide long non-coding RNA is filed under the name Capsicum annuum. Its description in RNAcentral is "long non-coding RNA (CANN_LNC020490)". The record is from RNAcentral. Lineage: Eukaryota; Viridiplantae; Streptophyta; Magnoliopsida; Solanales; Solanaceae.
UUAAAUCACGUGAUUUUUGUUAUAUGUUAACAACACUAAGCAAAAUUCAAAUUUCAAUUUUUUCAUUGACGUGUUCAUCCAAAAAAAAAAAAUAAUUGAACCUUUUUCUGUUCAAAAUUGUUCGAAUUCAACCGUUACUUUGAAAUUCAACCAUUAUUGUUUUUGAAUCAAAUUUGACUGAAAUUUCUUCUAUUUAAUUUCUUCAAAUUCAACAUAAAUUACAACGAGAAAUAUUAAUGUUGUUGAAUCAAAUUCAAUUGUGAAUCAAAUUAGAUUGUAGCUUCUUCAGUUCAAUUUGUUCGAAUUCAACAAUCGAUUGCAAAUUUAACCAUUACUGUCGUUGAAGGUAUUUAAUCAUUAUUGUUUAUCGGUUCAAAAAAUUUUUGUCAACCAUUACUGAUGCUUCGUUCAAUUUUUUGUUAUCGUCGUUGAUUUAUUUAUGAAAAUUUUGUAAAUGAAUUUUGAGUUAAAAGCAAUGCAACAGUAAAUUGAAUAGAUAGAACAAAAUAGUGAUCGAAAUUAAUUUUUUAUGCUGCUCAAAUUAAAUUUUUUGGAGGUCUGAUUCUCAGAAUUUAAGACUAUUUCUAUAUUUCAGAUAAUUUUGAUUAUAUAUAUUUUGGUUGUGUUCGAUUGUAGAAGUCGUGGCUUUAUCCAUAUUUAACGUUGAACAAAUAAUUUGUUAUUGUAUUUUCUGUUGGGAAUUUUGAUUGUGUUUGUAAUUUAUGUUUAACAAAUUUGUUGCAAUUGCAUUUUCCGCUGAAGUUCUUGUCUAUGUAAGUAUAUGUUAUUUAUGUUUAUAACUGUAGAAGUUUGUUUGCAUUUUUAUUUUGUAAUUGUAUAUUGUAACUAUUGAUGUCUGACAGAUAUUUUUUUUUGUAGUUUAGUUGAAAUACGUUAGCAAUGGGGAGCAUCCCAGUCCUCGUGAAGCACUCCGAAAGGUGGACGUAUGAAAAAAACUAUGAAGAGUACAUUACUGAUGCACUAUUGAUGAGCACGACAACAUCAUACAAUGUACUACACGAUCUUUUAGCAUCUCAUAUUAAUGUGGAUUUGAGUAGCACACACAUUCAAAUUGAAUAUCAAAUCACUGAAAAUGCUGGACAAAUUCAAAUAUAUAAUGAUAUGGGUUUAAAGGUGCUUAUUAUGCAAAAAAAAAAAGAGAUACAAGACAUGAAUUGUCUUCCUUUAUAUUUAAGCAUUUUGGAGAAAGAUGUUGUGAGCACCUUUGAAAGUUCAUCUGUAUGUGUUGUUGAAAGAAGAGACGUCCAAAACAAUUUUCAUCAAGUGUUAAAUACAUCUUUUGAUGGUGUUAAAAUCGGGUAGGGAUAUAUUUGAACAGAAGAACAUCAACUCAUGCAAUGGUUGUGGGUCUAAGGGUCACAAUAGGCGUUCGUGUAGGAAAUAUCGUAAAUGAUACAUUUGUUCUUCCGUAUUCUUUCUUUAUAAUUUCUUUUGCACUUUUCAUAAUAAUGAACUCAUUUGUGUGUUAUAAGACCUUUAUCGACCACUUGCUAUAAUGUGUUAUAAAUAACAAUUAGUAAUACAGUUAUGUAUUACUAAAUUUGAUAGAAAAAUACAUAUGCUUUUUAUUUGAAAAAUACUAUGUUUAAGGAUAUACGUAUUUGAUAACUGAGAUGUUUUUCAAAUAUGACCACUUAUACGUAUUUGUAAUAUGAAAGUAUUUUAAAGUAUUUGAAAGUAAAUGAAUAAAGUUAAAUCUGAAUACUGCAUAUGUAUAUAUUGCAAAAUCUGAACAUUGCAUAUUUAUUUUUAAGCUAAAUCUCACUGUAAUAAAUAAAACAUGAACACUAAAAUAAAACACAAAGUACAAAAUUAUUGAAGACAUAUUAAACAUAAAAGACUAAAAUGAAUUACUUUCAUUUGUUUCAAAAUUAGUAAGUUUGAUUCGCUUCAUAUGUAUUUUGAAAGUAAAUGAACAAAGAUUAAAAUACAUAUCAUGUUAACUACAUAUGUAUAUUUAAGUUAAAUCUAAAUACUGCGUAUGUAUAUAUCGCAAAAUCUGAGCACUACAUAUAUAUUUUGAAGCUAAAUCACACUGUAACAAAUACAACUAAACACUGGAAUAAAACACAGACUACAAAAUUAUUGAAAAUAUAUUCAACAUAACAGACUAAAAUGAAUUACUUUCAUUCACUUCAAAGUUUGUAACUUUGAUUCACUUUAUAUAUAUUUGAAAGAAAAUGAAUCAAGAGUAAAAUACAUAUGAUAUCAACUACAUAUAUAUUUUUAAUUUAAAUUUGAAUACUGCAUAUGUAUAUAUUGUAAAAUUUGAACACUGCAUAUGUAUUUUGAAGUUAAAUCUCACUAUAAUAAAUAAAACUGAACAGUAGAAUAAAACACAGACUACAAAAUUAUUGAAAACAUAUUCAACAUAAAAGACUAAAGUGAAUUACUUUCAUUCGCUUCAAAAUAAGUAAAUUUGAUUCACUUCAAAACAUAAAAUAAGUUUCUACAAUUAAUACCAACAUCCAGUUAAAUCUUGUCAAUUACACAAUGUAAUAAAAUCAUCAACCAUCAGACUUCUAAUACUUCUACGACACUAGUUAUCUUGCUUUUCUUAACAGGUCUUAUGGCGCUUCGUCGUCACUUUGAGCUUUUGCUUCUUGUUUUCUCAUGCCGUAAUUCCACAAUAGUGAAACAUAUCUUGUACAAAGUACGUGGGAUUGAACUCAACUGAAGGAACGCCUUGACCAUAAGAAAGAUACUCUGCGUAUAUAAUCAAAUACAAACCACAAUCCCUACAAAAAAUAUUGAAUAAUAAUUAAAAUAUAUUUCGUACAAACUUACAAAUUUAGUAUAUGUAUAUUAAAAUACUUACAAUCUUCCACUUGGUUGUUGAGGCAAAUCCUCUACAAAUAACACAUCAAUAUUUUACAUCAAUAUGGCCUGUAAACUUUCCUCAAUAUCAUUUUCACUGUAGCAACACAUAUGUGGUGGAAAUCUUGAAAGUUUUCUUACAAUGAGUAUUUCAUCACGUGAUACCUAUACAAAGUAAAACUACACCUUAUUAAACUGUAAAAAACAACAAAACACAAUCGCCACAUCAAAAAAUACAUAUAUAUAUAUGCAUAUGUAUAUUGAACAAAACAAAAAUACAAAACCAUCACUAAAGCAAAACACAUAUGAAAUUUGAUAUGUAUGUAUAAAAUACAAAUGCUUCCCUAUACCUUAAAAUGUAUAUUGAAUUUAACAAAAAUAUAAAUGAAAGUGCAUAUAUAUCUAUAAAACAUACAAACUACUUACAUAUACCUUAAAUGUAUAUUUAGUCAGUCAUUUGUAUAUAUGGCAAACCUACAUAAACUGUAUUGAAAAAUUAUUUUAAAAUGUAUUUGUAUUUCAAUAGAUACAAAUACGUCCAUAACCACAAAUGUAUUUGUAUAUUUCAACAUUUCAAUAUAAUGAAAAUACAUAUCAAUUAUAAUAAAAGUGCAUAUAGCUAAAUACCUCUUCAUGGAUAAUUCAUACAUAAAUGUAUUUUUCCAUACAUGCAACUUAACAAAUUCAUUUAACAUGCAAAUAUAACUAAACAUAGCAACUUUACAAAAAAUACAAAUAAAAACAUGUUAACCCAAAAUGUAUAUUUAACCUAUCAUCUUCACAAAUCAGUUUUACUGAAAUCCCUAAAUAUAUAUCAGCUGAUCAGUAAAUACAUAUUAGCUUCACAAAAAAAUACAUACUACCCCAAAUUGAUAACAGCUUUACUGAAAUCCCUAAAUAUAUAAUAGUAAAUAAAAAUACAUAUACAACAAAAAAUAUCUCUUCCUCAAUGUUUUCUUCAACAACAAAUCAACCCAAAAUCAUCUACAAUAUCCAUUCAACUCUAAUUAUCCUCCAUUAAUCGCUACAAAACAAAAUUCAAUUUCAAUUUUCAUCCAAAUUUUUUUUCAACUAUAUCAACUCAUAAAACAUCAAAUUUCACUGAAAAACAAACAAAAAAAAAUUAUCAACAACAAAUCAACCCAAAAUCAUCUAUAAUAUCCAUUCAACUCUGAUUAUCCUCCAUUAAUCGCAACAAAACAUAAUCCAAUUUCAAUUCUCAUCCAAAAUUCAACCUUUUCAACUAUAUCAACUCAUAAAACAUAAAAUUUCACUAAAAACAAAUAAAACAAAAUUUAGCAAAUUCGAUCACAUUGAUUCUCCGCUAACAACUACAAAAAUCAAAACCUUAAAGACGAAUUGGAAAAAUUGUUUACAGUACAAUUUUUUUUUUUUUGAGAAAUUGAUAAAAUGCAAUAACUGAAUUAAUAGUUACCUAAAAUUGUGGAACAAUUUCCUUAUCAGAUCGUGCAAAAGAUGUUAAGAAGGGACAAAUUUUGAAAGAGAAAAUCUGAGAAAAAGCGAGAAAAAUGAUAAAGUAAGAAGCAAUUAAAGAAAAGAGAGAUUUUAAGCGUGAAAAAUGGAACCUCAAACACGGUAACUUCUGAGAGACGGUAAGUGUGAUCCCCUACUUAAAAUAAUAUUAGAUUUGCUACACAAGAUAAUUUAAUCAAAGUAUUGCUAUUUUUUAUAAUUUAAGUGUUAAGUAUGUUACCCCUAUAGUUUGGUUACUAGUUUGAGGCUAAAAUCCAAAGAACAGCACCAUUCCAAUUAAGGAGGUGUGCUUUUGAUAAGUCUCCAACCUAAGUUAUUUUUGGUCCCAUGUUUUUAGGGUGGGCAGCACCAUUUCAAUUAAAUAGGUGUGAUUUUUUUAAAAAAAAAAAUACAUAUAGAGGUUAAUAAUAUUUUUGGUCACUCAGUUAGCAAAUUUUAAUUUUAAUUUUUAUAAUAUAUAAAUAAAUAUACUUGAUUUUUAAUUAAUUAAAAUGUGUAUUUCUUGUACGUAAAAAUAUUAUAUUUAUAUUAUUUUAAAUAAUUAUAUUACCCUCGAAUAUGAAGUAAUAAUACAAACUUAAUUAACAUAAUUUAAUAAGCGUUGAAUGAUACUAGUGUUAAUAAUUUAGUAAAUUUGUCAAGAUUCAUUAAUAAAGGGGACCAGAAGCACAUAUAUUAAGAGAUUUUAUCUACAAAUAGGUUCCAUAAUAUGUGGAACAAUAAUACCUAUCUUUAUUGUUCCAAUGAUGAUAAAAUAAAAGGCAAAUCAAGAAUUAACAUUUGAAGAAUAAUUGCAAUACAUUCAAUAAAUCUCAUUUAAAGUGCGACAAACAUGGCUUUGGUACUGUAUUAUUAGACAAAUAUCAAAAAGUAUUUUCACAAGUCAUAAUUAAAAUACAUUCAAUAAAUCUCAUUUAAAGUGCGACAAACAUGGCUUUGGUACUGAAUUAUUAGACAAAUAUCAAAAAGUAUUUUCACAAGUCCACUAUAUUGUUCUUGAUGUCAAGGAUAGAGUUGUAGUUCUGUAACAAAAUUUAUUAGCUUUAGUCUAGAACUUAUUUAUAUUUUAAAUAUUUAUUUAAUGUGUAUAGAUAAUCUUUCCUAAAGUAAUUAAACCUUUUAUUUUCAAAUUUGAAAAGAUACAAAUUUAAAAUUCGAGCUUUGUUUCUAUCUGAUGUGUGAUGUAUAAAGUAAGAAAUCUAAGAUAAUCAGAAUAUGGAUCGAAUUGUAUCCGAAGAACAGGGGGAUACAAAAAAGUAAUAAGAGAGGCGCACAGACCAAUUAAUCGUAUCGGUCGUAUUCUUGAAUUUGGAAUGAAACGAGGAGUAAUGCUUCCUAGCACGGGACAAAGAAUAAGACCACUUAGAUCAGAAUAGCAUUCACAGAAAUGUUCUAACAUAGAGUAGAAUCGAACAUGGAAGAGAUUCAUUGACAACAGUAAAAAGAUGGGCGCCUAAUUCCAAUACAAUAGGGGUCUAUCAGCCAGCCGAACCCAUUCAGACCCAAAACCGGCUUGCGCGAAUCACCCUUAGAUAGGGUAGACUCUGUCGCGUGCCCUCCCGUUCCAUCUGGGCCAAAUACCUAUUUAAGGUAUUUUCGGCGAUAGUAGUUCCCACCCG